UGGGGAAUAUUGCGCAAUGGGGGGAACCCUGACGCAGCCAUGCCGCGUGAAUGAAGAAGGCCUUAGGGUUGUAAAGUUCUUUCGGUAUUGAGGAAGGUUGAUGUGUUAAUAGCACAUCAAAUUGACGUUAAAUACAGAAGAAGCACCGGCUAACUCCGUGCCAGCAGCCGCGGUAAUACGGAGGGUGCGAGCGUUAAUCGGAAUAACUGGGCGUAAAGGGCACGCAGGCGGUUAUUUAAGUGAGGUGUGAAAGCCCCAGGCUUAACCUGGGAAUUGCAUUUCAGACUGGGUAACUAGAGUACUUUAGGGAGGGGUAGAAUUCCACGUGUAGCGGUGAAAUGCGUAGAGAUGUGGAGGAAUACCGAAGGCGAAGGCAGCCCCUUGGGAAUGUACUGACGCUCAUGUGCGAAAGCGUGGGGAGCAAACAGGAUUAGAUACCCUGGUAGUCCACGCUGUAAACGCUGUCGAUUUGGGGGUUGGGGUUUAACUCUGGCGCCCGUAGCUAACGUGAUAAAUCGACCGCCUGGGGAGUACGGCCGCAAGGUUA
This 547-nucleotide ribosomal RNA is filed under the name uncultured bacterium. RNAcentral's name for it is "bacterial SSU rRNA". It matches the Rfam family "Bacterial small subunit ribosomal RNA", at positions 355 to 896 of the family's 1533-position model. The record is from RNAcentral.